GGUCUGGUGGUCUAGUGGUAUGAUUCUCGCUUAGGGUCCACCCUACAGCUUCCCUGAGUAAUCAGGAUUUGAUAUGCGAGAGGUCCCGGGUUCAAUCCCCGGCCAGACCC
Molecule: non-coding RNA, 110 nt
Organism: Microdochium trichocladiopsis
Lineage: Eukaryota; Fungi; Ascomycota; Sordariomycetes; Xylariales; Microdochiaceae
Source: the annotation of a RefSeq genome assembly